CUCCUCUGUCCUCCGUUCCACCACGCUUUUCUCUGCUUCCUUCUCUUCUCUUCUCUUCUCUUCCCUUCUCCAUCGUUCCAAAACCACUCGCCCCGUAAAACCCCCUCAAACCUCCCUCCCGCGGCGGCGCAAUCGCGUUCAUGGCGGCCGCCACCGCCGCCGCCGCCGCCGAGCUGGAGCGGCGGGUGAUGGCGGCGGUGAAGGCGUCCGCGGCGCGCGGCGACCCCCCGCUCCUGCAGGCCGCCGAGGCCGCGCGCUGCGCCCGGGAGGCCUCCUCCUCCAUCUCCGUCGAUGGCGGGGCCGGGGCCGCGCUCGCCGCGGCGCUGGUGUCCAACCUGUGCUUCGCGCACAACACGGGCGCGAUGUGGAAGGUGCUGGACCAGGCCAUGGCGUCCCGCCUCGUCUCCCCGCUCCUCGCCCUCGCGCUGCUCACCCCGAGGGUGGUGCCCAACCGGCAGGCGCAGCCGGAGGCAUACAGGCUCUACCUCGAGCUGCUCGGCCAGUACACGGUCGCCCCGGUCUGCACGGAGAGCGUGGAGACGAAGGCCAUGUUAGUCAAAUCUAUUGAUGAUGCUUUGCAUCUUUCAGAUAGCUAUGGGUUUCAGAGAGUGGAUUUUGGACAUACAGUUAUUUUGUUUGUGUUAAGCGUUAUCAAAAUAUUGACUGACUGUAUAUUGGAAGAUUGUGGUUUGCCAACUAUUGAUGGUGAUGGACAUGACAUUUCAUAUGCUAUUGGAGCAGAAAAAAGUAUGAACAUAGAUGGCAAGGGAAGCUCAUUUGAUAGGAAAGAUGAGCACCGUGAAUGUCUGAGGAGGAAGAACACAAUUAUGACUUUAGAAGUAGUUGAGAAGAUCACUGCUAACAAAAAUACUCAAGUUUUUCUCCGUCUAGUCUAUCGUAACACACCUGAAAAUUUCAAUAUUUUGCUCCAGAGGCUUCAGCUUAUUGGUGCUCUGAAGUCAAAGAAUUUUGGAACUGCACAUAAUCUGCUAGGCAGCUUGAUGAUGAAUAUACGAAAAGUUGUUACUACAGGACAUCAAUUACACAAAGGCAAUCUAUUGGGAAGUAUUGUGAGUACAAAGCCUUGCAGUUCUGCUGCACGCAGUGUCUUUGGCGCUGGAAAGAGCUCUUGUUGGAUACCUUUUGACAUGUUUAUGGAGAACACAAUGGACGGAAGACAUCUUGAUACCAUAUCAUCAAUUGAAGCUCUGACAGAACUUGCUAAGACACUUCAAGUUCUUAAUCGAGCAACCUGGCAAGAAACCUUUCAAGCUCUGUGGAUUUCAGCUUUACGGCUUAUACAACGAGAUCGUGGCAUUCCAGAAGGGCCAUUUCCUCAUCUUCAUUCUCGAUUGUGCAUGUUAUUGGCUAUUGUACCUCUGUCUAUUGCUUCCAUUCUUAAGGAAGAGUCUGACAAGAUUGAAGGUGGAAUGGUCUCUGUUAGAAGAGGAGAAUUAUUGUCUUCACUUCAAGUUCUAGGGCAAUUUUUUGGUCUUCUUUCUCCUCCACCAGCAGUAGUGCAGUCAGCAAAUAUUGCAGCUAGGAAAGCAUUAGUUGCUUUAUCUGUUUUGAAGGAUCGGAAUGAGAGAGGUCACAAUUAUUCCAAAGAUAUCUCCUCUAUUAAAGCAGCGGGAAAUAUGCUACAUCUUAUUGUGGAAGCUUGUAUAGCAAGGAAUUUAGUUGAUACAUCUGUUUAUUUCUGGCCUAGCUAUGUUGUUCCAGUUAAAGACGCAUCUGCUGUUGAGGAAUCCCCUUGGUCAGCCUUAAUGGAAGGGUCACCCCUUAUGGGCCUUAAGGAUGCACUUAUGGUUACACCUGCUUCGAGCCUAGCAGAGUUGGAGAAAUUGCAACCUUUUGCAGUAAGUGGGUCAGAUGAGGAAAAGUUGGCGGCGUCUAAGAUUCUGUGUGGAGCAUCCCUUCUUCGUGGCUGGAACAUUCAGGAACAUGUUAUCCAAAUGGUGCUUAAGUUGCUGUCUACAUUGCUCCCCCUAGACUCUGGAUCAGAUGGGUUCUAUAUACAUCACAUGCCUAUGCUGCAUGCUCUCAUAUCUGGGAUUUCUUCAAUUGAUGUGGUUCAUAUUCUCUCUAUGUAUGGCUUGGUUCCAGAACUAGCUGCCAUUCUAAUGCCUUUAUGCGAAAUAUUUGGAUCAUUACCUUCGUCUGACCAUAGGAAUUGUAGUUUUGAAGAGGCCUCUGUGUACUCCGUAUUCUCAUGUGCUUUCCUGUGUCUUCUUCGCUUGUGGAAAUUUCAUAGACCCCCUGUGGAGUAUGCACUAUCAAAACAUGGAGUCUUUGUUUGCUCAGAGAUCAGUUUGGAUUUUCUCCUGCUACUACGAAACAGUCAUUUUGCUUUGAAUAGUCCGUAUGAUGUUAGCAGAAAGAGCAUAUUUCAACUAGAUCCAUCGUUUCAAAAACCGGUGUAUAUUGACUCAUUUCCAAAGCUACGGGCAUGGUACUUUCAGAAUCAGGCUUGCAUAGCCUCUACUCUUUCUAGUUCUUACAAAAGGAAAAGUAUCCUUCAAGUAGCCAAUAAGAUACUGAAAAUUGUCUGCCAUAAAAUGUCAAAAAGUGGCAUCCCUCCUGUCAGUUCCCAAUCAACAUCAAGUUCCAGUAUGAGUGGUUCAUCUCUAGGCACACAAGAUGAUGUCUCCCAAGGGCCGCCAGCUACUGCAUGGGAAGUGCUGGAAGCUGUUCCUUUUGUGCUUGAGACUGUUUUAGCUGCCUGCGCACAUGGGAGGCUUUCGUCUCGUGAUUUGAUUACAGGCUUGAGGAAUCUUGCGGACUUCUUGCCUGCUUCAGUUGCUGUUAUCGUCAGCUACUUUUCGGCAGAAAUUACUCGUGGCUUAUGGAAGCCAGUUAUGCUGAAUGGGACUGACUGGCCCAGUCCUGCUGCAACGCUUUUAGCAGUUGAGUCCGAUAUUGAGGAGGCUCUUGCAUCCGCUGGUGUUCAUAUUAACAUCUCUCCACGAAUACGUCCACCAAUCCCAAUGCUUCCAUUACCAAUAGCAACUCUUAUCAGCUUAUCAAUAACUGUUAAGAUGGAGGAAUUUAAUCACUUACAAGGAAUUAUUGACAAAGGAGUGGAAAUUUGUGCUACAUCAAGUUCAUGGCCUAGCAUGGCAAUCAUAGGGGCAUUCUGGGCACAAAAAGUUCGGCGGUGGCAUGAUUAUAUCAUCCAGUCAUGUUCAGAGACACCAUUUACCAGAGAUAAAAAUGCAGUUGCUCAACUAAUCAGGAGUUGCUUCUCAUCUUUCCUUGGGCCUUUGGUUGAUGGGCGUUCUUGCUUUGUAGCUGACAGAGGAGUGAAUAGGCUGCUGGGGCAGGCUCACCAAGAAAGAAGUCCCCGGUUUUCUUUAUCGCCAGGAUUACUUUACACACGAUGCUGCCGAAUGUUUCCUGACAACUAUUUUGUAUGUGAAGAGAUUUUGAAGGUUGUCAUUGAGAGAGCUCGUGCAUUAGCAAAUGAAUGUGACUCUAGUAGACCUCAUCUUCUGAAGUCUGGUCGGAUGACACUAUCUUCUGCCACAUGUUCUGUAGAGCAGAUAGCAUCACUUGCAGCAUCUAUGCUUUGUCAUGCUGGUGGAAUAAAGUUGGUUCGUCUUCUGUAUGAGCAGAUUCUGCCAACAAUGCUGCUUUCAGCUGGUGAAGCAAGGCUGGGUUCUGCUGGACCAGUGUGCAGUAGUUUCGAAGGAUUUGCUUUGGCAUAUGUUCUCCUUGUUUCUGGGGCCAGCACCUGGGGAGUAGGAGAAACCUCCCCAGUUUAUACUUCCGUAUACACAUCGAAGAGGCAACGGGUUGUAGAUAGGCACUUGGAGUUUGUCGCCAAUGUAAUGCAGGGUAACAUUGAGCUUGGCUGUGGCCAGGUCACUUGGAGAACCUAUGUUAUAUGUUUUGUGGGCUUGCUGGUCGACUUUGCGCCAACAUGGAUCCCUGAGGUGAAGCUCGAGACGCUGAAGAAGCUGGCGUCUGGGCUUUGGAAAUGGCACGAGUGCGAUCUUGCCCUCUCUUUGCUCGAGCGAGGGGGUCCAAAGGCCAUAUCUACAGUGGUUGAAUACAUCCUAUGAUAUGCCCGUGCCAAAUUGGUGCUCUAAUUUGCCAUGUACUUAUGCUCUCUUGCUCCAGUACAGGCAUACACAUCUUACACCUGAUCUGACGUGCAGAGACCCCCAUCAGAGAAGCAUAUGUUCUAGUAGAUGGCUUGCUCUGAACUAGAUAGAAGUCUAUACUACAGAAAGGAUAUCCAGCAGUUAGGUGUUUACACUUUACAGUACAUUUACAGAUAGGAUGACAUGGUGUAAAUGAUCAAGCAUAGCUGCCACUCCAAUGACAUGGUGUAAAUGAUCUUUCCGGCUCAAUUGGAGAUCAGAUUAUUUUUUUGGUUUUGCUCUUUCUUCAAAGGAACCGAGACCAAGUCUUCCAAGCCUGUUUCGACCAUAGCAUUGGUGACAGACUACAGAAAAGAGAAGUUACAUUUACAUAUAGUCCACUGUAUUACUGUUCAUAUGAUCAAUGUACAAUCUGGUAAGUACAGUAGUGA
This is an RNA transcript of Oryza sativa Japonica Group (Japanese rice), 4537 nucleotides long. It is a transcript of the gene named mediator of RNA polymerase II transcription subunit 33A, with no coding region annotated. Lineage: Eukaryota; Viridiplantae; Streptophyta; Magnoliopsida; Poales; Poaceae. The record is from RefSeq and is a predicted model, not a curated record.